AACGAACGCUGGCGGCAUGCCUAACACAUGCAAGUCGAACGAGACCUUCGGGUCUAGUGGCGCACGGGUGCGUAAAGCGUGGGAACAUGCCCUUAGGUUCGGAAUAACUCCCCGAAAGGGGUGCUAAUACCGGAUAAUGUCUUCGGACCAAAGAUUUAUCGCCUUUGGAUGGGCCCGCGUUGGAUUAGCUAGUUGGUAGGGUAAAAGCCUACCAAGGCGACGAUCCAUAGCUGGUCAGUGAGGAUGAUCAGCCACACUGGGACUGAGACACGGCCCAGACUCCUACGGGAGGCAGCAGUGGGGAAUAUUGGACAAUGGGCGAAAGCCUGAUCCAGCAAUGCCGCGUGAGUGAUGAAGGCCUUAUGGUUGUAAAGCUCUUUUACCCGGGAUGAUAAUGACAGUACCGGGAGAAUAAGCUCCGGCUAACUCCGUG
This 433-nucleotide ribosomal RNA is filed under the name uncultured bacterium. RNAcentral's name for it is "partial 16S ribosomal RNA". It matches the Rfam family "Bacterial small subunit ribosomal RNA", at positions 29 to 507 of the family's 1533-position model. The record is from RNAcentral.